Molecule: ribosomal RNA, 468 nt
Filed under: uncultured bacterium
Lineage: Bacteria
Description: partial 16S ribosomal RNA
Rfam family: Bacterial small subunit ribosomal RNA
Source: RNAcentral
GACGAACGCUGGCGGCGUGCUUAACACAUGCAAGUCGAACGGAAAGGCCCUGCUUUUGUGGGGUGCUCGAGUGGCGAACGGGUGAGUAACCAGUGAGUAACCUGCCCUUGCCUUUGGGAUAACUUCAGGAAACUGGGGCUAAUUCCGGAUAGGAGCUCCUGCUGCAUGGUGGGGGGUGGAAAGUUUCGGCGGUUGGGGGUGGUCUCGCGGCUUAUCAGCUUGUUGGUGGGGUAGUGGCUUACCAAGGCUUUGACGGGUAGCCGGCCUGAGAGGGUGACCGGCCACAUUGGGACUGAGAUACGGCCCAGACUCCUACGGGAGGCAGCAGUGGGGAAUAUUGCACAAUGGGCGGAAGCCGUAUGCAGCAACGCCGCGUGCGGGAUGACGGCCUUCGGGUUGUAAACCGCUUUCGCCUGUGACGAAGCGGGAGUGAGGGUAAUGGGUAAAGAAGCACCGGCUAACUACGUG